Molecule: ribosomal RNA, 449 nt
Filed under: uncultured bacterium
Lineage: Bacteria
Description: bacterial SSU rRNA
Rfam family: Bacterial small subunit ribosomal RNA
Source: RNAcentral
GAUGAACGCUGGCGGCGUGCUUAACACAUGCAAGUCGAACGAAGCACUUUGAUCGAUUUCUUCGGAUUGAAAUUUUAGUGACUGAGUGGCGGACGGGUGAGUAACGCGUGGGUAACCUGCCUCACACAGGGGGAUAACAGUUGGAAACGGCUGCUAAUACCGCAUAAGCGCACAGUACCGCAUGGUACAGUGUGAAAAACUCCGGUGGUGUGAGAUGGACCCGCGUCUGAUUAGCUAGUUGGCAGGGUAACGGCCUACCAAGGCGACGAUCAGUAGCCGACCUGAGAGGGUGACCGGCCACAUUGGGACUGAGACACGGCCCAAACUCCUACGGGAGGCAGCAGUGGGGAAUAUUGCACAAUGGGGGAAACCCUGAUGCAGCGACGCCGCGUGAGCGAAGAAGUAUUUCGGUAUGUAAAGCUCUAUCAGCAGGGAAGAAGAAAUGACGG